UCCCUCGUAGUUCAGUCGGUAGAACGGCGGACUGUUAAUCCGUAUGUCACUGGUUCAAGUCCAGUAGGAGGAGCCA
This 76-nucleotide transfer RNA is filed under the name Aeromonas veronii AMC34. Its description in RNAcentral is "tRNA-Asn". It matches the Rfam family "tRNA". From Rfam's summary of the family: Transfer RNA (tRNA) molecules are approximately 80 nucleotides in length. The record is from RNAcentral. Lineage: Bacteria; Pseudomonadati; Pseudomonadota; Gammaproteobacteria; Aeromonadales; Aeromonadaceae. RNAcentral also lists the same sequence under 2 other names.